Molecule: ribosomal RNA, 786 nt
Filed under: uncultured Pelagibacterales bacterium
Lineage: Bacteria; Pseudomonadati; Pseudomonadota; Alphaproteobacteria; Candidatus Pelagibacterales
Description: SSU rRNA
Rfam family: Bacterial small subunit ribosomal RNA
Source: RNAcentral
GGCGGCACGCCUAACACAUGCAAGUCGAACGCAGUAGCAAUACUGAGUGGCGAACGGGUGAGUAUAAUGUGGGUAUCUGCCUUUUGGUUUGGAAUAACACGAGGAAACUUGUGCUAAUACCGGAUAAGCCUUUACAGGGAAAGCUUUAGCGCCGAAAGAUGAGCUCAUACUUGAUUAGCUAGUUGGUAAGGUAAUGGCUUACCAAGGCUACGAUCAAUAGCUGAUCUGAGAGGAUGAUCAGCCACAUUGGGACUGAGACACGGCCCAGACUCCUACGGGAGGCAGCAGUGGGGAAUCUUGCACAAUGGGGGAAACCCUGAUGCAGCGAUGCCGCGUGAGUGAAGAAGGCCUUUGGGUUGUAAAGCUCUUUCGUCGGGGAAGAAAAUGACUGUACCCGAAUAAGAAGGUCCGGCUAACUUCGUGCCAGCAGCCGCGGUAAUACGAAGGGACCUAGCGUAGUUCGGAAUUACUGGGCUUAAAGAGCUCGUAGGUGGUUAAGAAAGUUGGUGGUGAAAGCCCAAGGCUUAACCUUGGAACUGCCACCAAAACUUUUUGACUAGAGUAUGAUAGAGGUAAGUGGAAUUUCUAGUGUAGAGGUGAAAUUCGUAGAUAUUAGAAAGAACACCAAUUGCGAAGGCAACUUUCUGGAUCAUUACUGACACUGAGGAGCGAAAGCAUGGGUAGCGAAGAGGAUUAGAUACCCUCGUAGUCCAUGCCGUAAACGAUGUGUGCUAGACGUUGGAAAUUUAUUUUUCAGUGUCGCAGCAAAGCGUUAAGCACACCGNC